GUUGUAUAGUCAAGUAAUUAAGUGCAUGUGGUGGAUGCCUUGGCAGUCAGAGGCGAUGAAAGACGUGAUAGCCUGCGAAAAGCUCCGGGGAGGCGGCAAAUAUCCUUUGAUCCGGAGAUGUCUGAAUGGGGGAACCCACCUACUUUAAGGUAGGUAUUGCAACAUGAAUACAUAGUGUUGCAAGGCGAACGAGGGGAAGUGAAACAUCUCAGUACCCUUAGGAAAAGAAAUCAAUUGAGAUUCCCUCAGUAGCGGCGAGCGAACGGGGAUCAGCCCAUUAAGUUAUGUGUGUUUUAGUGGAACGCUCUGGGAAGUGCGAACGUAGAGGGUGAUAUUCCCGUACACGAAAGGGCACACAUAAUGAUGACGAGUAGGGCGAGGCACGUGAAACCUUGUCUGAAUAUGGGGGGACCAUCCUCCAAGGCUAAAUACUCCUGACUGACCGAUAGUGAACCAGUACCGUGAGGGAAAGGCGAAAAGAACCCCUGUGAGGGGAGUGAAAUAGAUCCUGAAACCGCAUGCAUACAAGCAGUGGGAGCACCUUCGUGGUGUGACUGCGUACCUUUUGUAUAAUGGGUCAGCGACUUAUAUUCAGUAGCGAGGUUAACCGUAUAGGGGAGCCGUAGAGAAAUCGAGUCUUAAUAGGGCGUUUAGUUGCUGGGUAUAGACCCGAAACCAGGCGAUCUAUCCAUGAGCAGGUUGAAGGUUGGGUAACACUAACUGGAGGACCGAACCCACUGUCGUUGAAAAGCCAGGGGAUGACUUGUGGAUAGGGGUGAAAGGCUAAUCAAGCCUGGUGAUAGCUGGUUCUCCCCGAAAGCUAUUUAGGUAGCGCCUCGGACGAAUACCAUAGGGGGUAGAGCACUGUUUCGGCUAGGGGGUCAUCCCGACUUACCAAACCGAUGCAAACUCCGAAUACCUAUGAGUACUAUCCGGGAGACAGACUGCGGGUGCUAACGUCCGUAGUCAAGAGGAAAACAAUCCAGACCGCCAGCUAAGGCCCCAAAAUCAUAGUUAAGUGGGAAACGAUGUGGGAAGGCAUAGACAGCUAGGAGGUUGGCUUAGAAGCAGCCACCCUUUAAAGAAAGCGUAAUAGCUCACUAGUCGAGUCGGCCUGCGCGGAAGAUGUAACGGGGCUAAAACUAUGUGCCGAAGCUGCGGANNUGCUGGAGGUAUCAGAAGUGCGAAUGCUGACGUGAGUAACGACAAAACGGGUGAAAAACCCGUUCGCCGAAAGACCAAGGGUUCCAGUCCAACGUUAAUCGGGGCUGGGUGAGUCGACCCCUAAGGCGAGGCCGAAAGGCGUAGUCGAUGGGAAAAUGGUUAAUAUUCCAUUACUUCUGUGUAAUGCGAUGAGAGGACGGAGAAGGCUAAAUCAGCCUGGCGUUGGUUGUCCAGGUGAAAGGAUGUAGGCAUGUAUCUUAGGCAAAUCCGGGGUACUCUAUGCUGAGAUCUGAUAGCAAGCUGUACUUGUACAGCGAAGUGGUUGAUGCCAUGCUUCCAGGAAAAGUCUCUAAGCUUCAGUUACACAGGAAUCGUACCCGAAACCGACACAGGUGGUCAGGUCGAGUAGACCAAGGCGCUUGAGAGAACUCUGCUGAAGGAACUAGGCAAAAUGGUACCGUAACUUCGGGAGAAGGUACGCUGUUGUUGGUGAUGGAACUCGCUUCCUGAGCUGACGACAGCCGCAGAAACCAGGCCGCUGCAACUGUUUAUUAAAAACAUAGCACUCUGCAAACACGAAAGUGGACGUAUAGGGUGUGAUGCCUGCCCGGUGCUGGAAGGUUAAUUGAUGGGGUUAGCGUAAGCGAAGCUCUUGAUCGAAGCCCCAGUAAACGGCGGCCGUAACUAUAACGGUCCUAAGGUAGCGAAAUUCCUUGUCGGGUAAGUUCCGACCUGCACGAAUGGCAUAAUGAUGGCGGCGCUGUCUCCAGCAGAGGCUCAGUGAAAUCGAAAUCGCUGUGAAGAUGCAGUGUACCCGCGGCUAGACGGAAAGACCCCGUGAACCUUUACUGCAGCUUGACACUGAACUUUGACCUUACUUGUGUAGGAUAGGUGGGAGGCUUUGAAGCUGGAACGCUAGUUCCAGUGGAGCCGUCCUUGAAAUACCACCCUGGUAAUGUUGAGGUUCUAACUCUGUCCCGUGAUCCGGGACGAGGACCGUGUCUGGUGGGUAGUUUGACUGGGGCGGUCUCCUCCUAAAGAGUAACGGAGGAGUACGAAGGUGCGCUCAGCGUGGUCGGAAAUCACGCGUAGAGUAUAAAGGCAAAAGCGCGCUUAACUGCGAGACCCACAAGUCGAGCAGGUACGAAAGUAGGUCUUAGUGAUCCGGUGGUUCUGUAUGGAAGGGCCAUCGCUCAACGGAUAAAAGGUACUCUGGGGAUAACAGGCUGAUACCGCCCAAGAGUUCAUAUCGACGGCGGUGUUUGGCACCUCGAUGUCGGCUCAUCUCAUCCUGGGGCUGAAGCAGGUCCCAAGGGUAUGGCUGUUCGCCAUUUAAAGAGGUACGCGAGCUGGGUUUAGAACGUCGUGAGACAGUUCGGUCCCUAUCUACCGUGGGCGCUGGAAAUUUGAGAGGAUCUGCUCCUAGUACGAGAGGACCAGAGUGGACGAACCUCUGGUGUACCGGUUGUGACGCCAGUCGCAUCGCCGGGUAGCUAUGUUCGGAAGGGAUAACCGCUGAAAGCAUCUAAGCGGGAAGCCUACCUCAAGAUAAGAUUUCCCUAGGACUUUAUGUCCUCUAAAGAGCCGUUCGAGACUAGGACGUUGAUAGGUUGGAUGUGGAAGCAUAGUGAUAUGUGAAGCUGACCAAUACUAAUUGCUCGUGAGGCUUGACUAUACAACACCCAAGCAGUUG
Molecule: ribosomal RNA, 2857 nt
Filed under: Acinetobacter baumannii
Lineage: Bacteria; Pseudomonadati; Pseudomonadota; Gammaproteobacteria; Moraxellales; Moraxellaceae
Description: bacterial LSU rRNA
Rfam family: Bacterial large subunit ribosomal RNA
Source: RNAcentral